This 253-nucleotide ribosomal RNA is filed under the name uncultured bacterium. RNAcentral's name for it is "partial 16S ribosomal RNA". It matches the Rfam family "Bacterial small subunit ribosomal RNA", at positions 524 to 776 of the family's 1533-position model. The record is from RNAcentral.
GACAGAGGGUGCAAACGUUGUUCGGAAUUACUGGGCGUAAAGCGCGUGUAGGCGGCUAAGUAAGUCGGGCGUGAAAUCCCACGGCUCAACCGUGGAAGUGCACUCGAAACUGGAUGGCUAGAGUCCUGGAGAGGAGGGUGGAAUGCUUGGUGUAGAGGUGAAAUUCGUAGAUAUCAAGCGGAACACCGGUGGCGAAGGCGGCCUUCUGGACAGUGACUGACGCUGAGACGCGAAAGCGUGGGGAGCAAACAGG